GAGGAGAAUGGAUGGCGUGCCUGGCUGACUGAGGGAGCGACAGGCCCCUGGAGAGAGCAGUGCUGGCAGAGGCCAAGAGGAACUCGAAGGAGUUCUGGAUUGGCUGCUGAGACUCAACCAGGACAAGACAUCAAGACAGUGUGACUCAGCUGGAGGGCUGAGUCACCGAAGACCCACAUGCACUGAGACAGGGCGGUUGUGAGAGAUGAGUGCACCCCAUUACAAUGAAAUUAUACAUUUAGUUGACAAAGAUGGGAAAACUUCAAGUAUGGAGGUGAAUUGACUUGCCAAAGGUUGCACAGCACAUCGGUGGCAGAACCAGGACUAGAACGCAUGACUACAAAACCCAGUACUGGGAACCCCUUCAAGACUAGAAGUGCCAAUGCCCCUAGAACCACUCAGGGAGCCCCUCCUGUCCACUGGGAAAAAGCUUUGAUUUCUCUUCCUACAGGGUCACUAGAUAUCAGACCAGACCUGUAACUUGUCCAGGA
Dermochelys coriacea (leatherback sea turtle) is the source of this 491-nucleotide long non-coding RNA. RefSeq lists it as uncharacterized. The transcript has 3 exons. The record is from RefSeq and is a predicted model, not a curated record. Lineage: Eukaryota; Metazoa; Chordata; Testudines; Dermochelyidae.